GUCACCUCGGUAUGUGACCAAGCCACAGGCUCCCCUAAGCAACGAACAUCACGGUUGCCUGUGAAAGGCAACAAGUGGUGACCCCCGAUGUGAUGCUUAGGGGAACGAGUCGGCUGUCUGCUUGAUGGGGCAGGAGCCCACCGCAGGGCGUUAGGACUUGCUGGGCGGUGGAAGCCCGGGGACAAGGCCGGGGACAGAGGGAAUCUGCAGUCACCCCUCUGUCGGUGGAGGUCGCGGACGAGCGACGAAUAUAGCCUCCGGGAUCACGCCGGAGAAGAGCCUGGGAUCCUGGUCUCAAUUGGGAGGAGGAUCGGAGGCGACAUGGAAACCAUCAUAAAGUUUCUUGCAGGGGCCGUGAGGAGACGGAGCCGCCAAUGACCGUUGGCAAGAUGGCGCCGGCUGAGCCGACCGCGCUCAGUUCAAAAGAAGACAAACAACAAGAGAGUGAAUGUUUGUUGUCUCGUCCCCCUCCCCCGUAUCCGAACCCCUCAGGCGGAACGUUGCAGUUCACUAAGGUGAACAGAAAUACUUUCAUUAACAGGGAUAAUUUUUCUGAGCUGCCAUGCAUCUUUAAUUCCCUUCCAACUCAGAGAUGCCAGAAUGACUUUUCAUCAUCCAAUCCACUCCACUGAAUUCCAAUGAUCGCUGCA
RNAcentral lists this long non-coding RNA (650 nucleotides) under Gallus gallus (chicken). RNAcentral describes it as "lncRNA (ENSGALG00010023895.1)". Lineage: Eukaryota; Metazoa; Chordata; Aves; Galliformes; Phasianidae. The record is from RNAcentral.